GACGAACGCUGGCGGCGUGCUUAACACAUGCAAGUCGAACGGUAAGGCCCUGUUUUUGUGGGGUGCUCGAGUGGCGAACACGGGAGUAACACGUGAGUAGCCUGCGCUUGACUUUGGGAGAACUUCAGGAAACUCGAGCUAAUAUCGGAUAUAAGCUCUUUCUGCAUGGGGUGGGUGUGUAAGUGUCGCCGUUUGAGCAUGGACUCGCGGCGUAGCGUCGUGUUAGUGGGGUAGUGGCGUACCGAGGCGAUGACACGUAGCCGACCUGAGAGGGUGAGCGGCCCCAGUGGGACGGGGACACGGCCCAAACGCCUACGGGAGGAAGCAGUAGGGAAUCUUCGGCAAUGGACGAAAGGCUGACCGAGCAACGCCGCGUGAGUGAAGAAGGUGUGCGGAGCGUAAAACUCUGUUGGUAGAGAAGAACGUUGGUGAGAGGGGAAAGCUCAUCAAGUGACGGUAACUACCCAGAAAGAGACGGCUAACUACGUG
This 489-nucleotide ribosomal RNA is filed under the name uncultured bacterium. RNAcentral describes it as "partial 16S ribosomal RNA". It matches the Rfam family "Bacterial small subunit ribosomal RNA", at positions 28 to 507 of the family's 1533-position model. The record is from RNAcentral.